Molecule: small nucleolar RNA, 98 nt
Organism: Malania oleifera
Lineage: Eukaryota; Viridiplantae; Streptophyta; Magnoliopsida; Santalales; Ximeniaceae
Product: small nucleolar RNA SNORD90
Exons: 1
Source: RefSeq, a predicted model, not a curated record
UACUAACGAUUUGAAAUUCGUCACUAAAAGUGCAGUAUUAGUGACGAAUAUCAAAAUCGUCACUAAUACUGCACUUUUAGUGACGAAUUUCAAACCAU